AUUAGUGUAUCAUCAAAAUUUUGCCUUUGAAAGAAAAUGUUAAAGCAUGUAAAUGGAAGAAUGUGAAGAUAUCUCCCUGAGGUUCCUUCCCUUCCAGGGGACUUGUUGGUGUCAUAUUUUUACCUCUGAAAUCGGUUUUUCAUAGACAUCCUCUCCUAUGGAUUUCUCCUGGGCAAGAAUGGCAUCUCGGUGCAGGACCCGCAGCACUUUCUCUGGCUCCGCAGACCCGUAAUGAGCCUCCAGAACCUCAGGAAGAGAAGAUGGGCCAUCAAUGAAAAACGGCGGUUGCAAUGAAGCAACGGAUUUCACAGCUAAGACAAGAGCACUGCACUUCCUCCUCAUGCUUUCUGGUACACUCCACGCUCAGAGAAACUUCUCUAGUAACAAACUAUGAAAAUGGCUCCUCAAAGCAUAGAAUUUUACUUUAUUUUUCAAUGUUUUUCCAUCACCAGUUUGACAAUGGCAUUGGCCUAUGUUACCAUUGAGUUUAUUACAAUUGAUUUCUAUUGUUCAGGUUGUUAAAUUCCUACUGAGAAGCAUGAAAAAGAGUAAGAUGCACUUGAGGAGAUAAAGCAGACCUUUGAAGGGAAACCAAACAUCAAUUCAAGUUAUGACUUACAGACCAAAAAAGAUAUUCCAAGUUUUUGUGAAUUUUAAAAUAUGCUGUUUUGUGUGGAAAAAAUAAAUCCUGUUGGCAAACAA
This is a long non-coding RNA of Macaca mulatta (Rhesus monkey), 702 nucleotides long. RefSeq lists it as uncharacterized. The record is from RefSeq and is a predicted model, not a curated record. Lineage: Eukaryota; Metazoa; Chordata; Mammalia; Primates; Cercopithecidae.